This 285-nucleotide long non-coding RNA is filed under the name Lathyrus oleraceus (garden pea). RNAcentral describes it as "Pisum sativum (pea) long non-coding RNA (PSAT_LNC008012)". Lineage: Eukaryota; Viridiplantae; Streptophyta; Magnoliopsida; Fabales; Fabaceae. The record is from RNAcentral.
UGGGAUAUGGUAGAGGGAGUGAUGAGGCAAGUUGCCUAGAGCCGAAGGAAUUCAGAUCUUCUGAGAUAGAGAUCUUACCAGAAGGUGUCGAAGAAGAGGUUAGAGGCACUAGCUUCUUCUUGGUCGUUGAAGACUCUCCCAGCUUUAGAAUCUUCUUCUUUUGAACUAUCGUCUUAUGAGAAGGUUCCAUCUUUCUCUUCAAGAAGUUAUGAGGAUGAUCUGGAAGCCAAUCCAUGCUGAAGCCAGAGAUGUCGUAACCUUGAGCUUCCAGAUCUUGCAGAUAAC